GCCCAGUUGAAGAGUCCCAAAUAGGAUGAAACCGGAGUCCUGGAU
This 45-nucleotide non-coding RNA is filed under the name Schistosoma bovis. The record is from RNAcentral. RNAcentral also lists the same sequence under 1 other name. Lineage: Eukaryota; Metazoa; Platyhelminthes; Trematoda; Strigeidida; Schistosomatidae.